GCAAGUAUAGUUUAAACCAAACGUUAGACUGUGACCCUAAAAAUAGAAGUUAGACCCUUCUUACCUGCC
This 69-nucleotide transfer RNA is filed under the name Strigops habroptila (Kakapo). It matches the Rfam family "tRNA". Rfam says of the family: Transfer RNA (tRNA) molecules are approximately 80 nucleotides in length. Their secondary structure includes four short double-helical elements and three loops (D, anti-codon, and T loops). The record is from Rfam by way of RNAcentral. Lineage: Eukaryota; Metazoa; Chordata; Aves; Psittaciformes; Psittacidae.